Molecule: non-coding RNA, 201 nt
Organism: Pelobates cultripes (western spadefoot toad)
Lineage: Eukaryota; Metazoa; Chordata; Amphibia; Anura; Pelobatidae
Source: the annotation of a GenBank genome assembly
AUAGGGAGAGGUAUUAGCAGUAGAAAGAGGGAAGUGCUCAUGCUAUUGUACAGAACACUGGUGAGACCUCACUUGGAGUAUUGUACACAGUACUGGAGACUGUAUCUUCAGAAGGAUAUUGAUACCUUAGAGAGGGUUCAGAGAAGGGCUACUAAACUGGUUCAUGGAUUACGGGAUAAAACUUACCAGGAAAGGUUAAAG